Molecule: ribosomal RNA, 249 nt
Filed under: Triticum aestivum (bread wheat)
Lineage: Eukaryota; Viridiplantae; Streptophyta; Magnoliopsida; Poales; Poaceae
Description: partial small subunit ribosomal RNA
Source: RNAcentral
AUGGCCUCCGCCACCCCGGCGGUGCCCGACCCCGCCCUCGGCCUCCGCCACCCCGGCGCUCUCGCCCGCCGCAUCGCCAUGGCGCGCGGCGCCGCCGUCGCGCCAGCGCUCCGUCCCUGGCUCCUCUUCGACGCCGUGCCCCUCGUCGUCGUCGUCCUCAUCGCCGCGCACGUCCUCGCCCUCGGCUACUGGAUCUACAGGCUCGCCACCGACGGGUCCAAGCACCCUGCGCGGAGCAAGAAACACUAG